CCAAGGUGGGAGAGGAGCCCUCCAGGGAGGGGGCUGUCGUGGAGUGAUACAGGCUGGAUACGAAGCCAUGCUAAUACUUCUACUGUGGCCUGGCUGCAAGAGGUAUCCGGCCAGGGGGGAGUCUCCCAGGGAAAGGGGUGCGAUCCCACUGCUGGGCCAGGCUGAAGGCUGCAUUCGCAAACCGAACAGGCGGGAGCGAGCCUGCAUUGGCCAAGGGAUGGCCCUUUUCCCACUUCCUCCUCUUCCGCUGCUGCAAAGCGAAGCAGAAAGCCCCCCCGCGCUGCGUGGGCUGGGGGGUAUAUUUGUCUCGGCGAUGGUACUUAUUAGUGCUGCCCUGGCUCUGGCCCGGGUGACUCACUUCCUCCAUUACGUUGUGUGUUUUUAGCUCACAUCUCUCCCGUGCAUCUCUCUUGCCUUGGGAUCUUUCUGUUCUCCAGGCGGUCCCCGGUCGCCCGUCAAGGCACGGCACUUUCUGUGGUGCCAGACUUCUGCGGUGGGUUUUGGGGCCCAGAACGAGCCGCGAUGAGUCCGUGCUGCUUAGCAAGGUGCAGGCCCCUGCAGCCGUUCGUCUCCUGGGGAUGCUGUGCACCGGGCAGCGAGUUUGGGCAGUCUGAGGGCCCGGCGGGCUCUCCGUUUUCCACGUGAGAAGCUUUGGGGUGGCCGGAGCCGGGGGAGGCACGUGCAAAGGUGCAUGCAGGUUUCCUCGAGCGUGUGCGCGCUCCGUUCCCCGCCUGCCCCCCGCUCCCCGCAAGCUCGGACCCCUGACCCAGCGAGCGGUCCCUGUUGCAGGCAUCCCUGCACCCCUAUUGUGGAGCUGCCGCUAUUAGAUUCUCACCCUAGUUUUACGUGGGUUGCUUUUUAUCAGCCGCUUCGCUCCUCUGUUUUGCUUCAGAGAUUUAUUAGCUUUUCCCUUUCCGAAGAGGGAUUAUUUUCUCAACGCCUUCAGGGAACGACCGGUCUUUGGACUGCAAAUAAACCCAGCGCAGCUUAAAAUAAUUGUUCACGUGAAACCUGCUCGGAGCCACUUCCCCUCGUGCUUGAUCGGUCUCUGCAGCGCAGCCGGGCAGCGGGGAGGUCGGCCACCACCGAGGCCUCCCACCAAAGCCCUUGACAAAUGAUUUUGCCAUUUCGUGGACCGGGAAGAGACAAUCAUUAACUCCCACACUUGGCUUCUGGAAAGGUUACAGCUUAAUUGGUCGGAUCGCCAGCCAUAAAUCAAGCAAUUGAAGGGUCAAGAGAGACACGGAGAAGUUCUUACGAGGCAGCUGGAGGGCUUUCCUUGGGAAGAGCCAUCCAAAUGAGCCCACGGAAACUCGGGGAGGGGAAGGGAAGGGAAGGGAAGGGAAGGGAAGGGUGGACCUGAGCUCUUCAGAGCAGAGCUGCGUCUCUCCGGGCUGUGGAAAUGCUGGGCUCACGUCCUGCCAGGAGUCGCAAUGUGCAUUGUGGAAAGAAAUGCAGGAUUCGGUGGUGUUUGUUCCAAGAGAAGUGAUGAAUUGAGGGGUUCGUCUGUCGGUGGAGAGCCCCAGACUCACCGCACGCACCUCUCCUCCCUUCCCCUGGACAAGGAACAAGGAGUUAAUGGGAGAGGACGUCUCUUCCCAAGACAGGAGCCCGCUGGAUUUUCCUUGGUAGAGGAACAAACUCCCAGCCAAAAUACAGAUUUGUUUUCACCAGACAAAUGUCAGCUAAGUUUCUACUCAGCUCAGCGCACACCCAAGAAGGACGGGGACUGGCCUCUUGUCCUGCUUUCCAAGGGGGGUGCAAGACAGAUUGCCUUCCUGUUAGACUCAGUCUCUAGCCUCCCUCCAGCGCACACGGGUAAUCACCACCAUUGCCCGCGUGUCUUCAAGGAGAAUAUGUUACCCCGCGAGCCUCCUCGUAGCUCUAUUCAGACAAUCAGUCCUGGGGAACGGCUGCAAUCUAGCGCAGCUGAAUCAUCUCUAGCAGCCUUUCUAUUAGUGACAAACUACCUGCGAUGGGAGACUCAGGCCCCGUCCAUGCAUUACAGGUGUGACAAGCACGAGGGGCACCUUUCCUCCUGCCACAUGCAGCUUCAGGGCUGGACCGAAUCCUCUUGCGCGUCGGGACAGCACGGCCUCAUGGCAGCGCCGUGACGGAGGAGGGAAGGAAGAGAUGAGCAUCUGUGGGCUCAAGACUGCACAGCAAUUAGCCAUUAGCGAGGGGGUGACGACGGCGACGGCGAUGUCGCCGUCUCAGGGUUGACUGGAGACCUGGCACCGCUGACUGCGCCCCGUGCAGUGAACAACCAGCUGUGGUUGUCCAGAGAAGAGCCCGGUCCGAGCGGCUGGGCACCCAGCCCAGGGCCGGCCUUCCAAGCGCGGCCGCAUCUGGUCUUAAUUAAGUUCACCUUCCCAUGCCCGUGCUCCAAAGGAAGGCGUGCUCGUUCCUAGCCUCCACCACCCGCCCUGACCCCGCUGUGCCUGUUUGCCAGCGGCUGCGGUCCAGGCAGGACCAUGCACACGUUGUGCGUCUAGAAAGGCAGGCGCAGGCUGCAGCGGGCUACCGCCCCGUCCCUCGUAUCCCAGCGCCGGCUGGGAGCAAAAGCGCUGGUAGCCAGGGGUGGGGAGUGGAUCUGGGCGGGCUUCGGUGCUGUUGUCACUACACAUCGGAAAGCUGGCGCUAGCACUCCCGGGUUCAAGGGCGAGAGUGGAGCGAAGGCACUGCUUUGCGAGGAAAGGAAGGCUCCUAGCACUGCCUCUGGGUCCUCCAGCGUUGUCGCUGGGGCCUGGGGACUGCUGUGCCCCUGAACCCCUUGCAUGUGGCAUGCUGGGCUGGGAGAACAGCUAUGCUUUCGCACACCUAGGAGAGGGGCAGGGACUCAGCCCUCGUACGUACGGAUCUGCGGCCACGGGUCCAUGCACCGUAGGGCUAGCACGGGUCAGAUGCAGCAGGCUUGGGGCUGGCAUCAUGUCCAGCUGCCUUGAACUCUCCAGCCUGGAUGCUCCAAAGCCUGCAGGGCUGGACGUGGUACGAGUUGAACCCAUGCCUACAAAGGCAUCGAGAGAGGCCUGCUCCCCCCUGCCCACACAUCGGUCCCUCUGACCCAGACGCUCCGGAUUCAAGUUGGGGGACGGACACACGUGUGGAGCCCGCACCUCUUCGUUCCCAUGCUCCUCCAGCUGGGUCUGGCUCCCCACGCCAGCCGGGCACGACCCGCUCCUGUUCUCGUGCAGCCGUGUGUGUGUGUGUGGAGGUGGGGUGCUCUCCCAGGUGCUCACAAGUGUUAUUGUGCAUCCAGGUGGGGAGCAGGCAGGUGCUGUGCUCAUGUAGGACGAGGUCUGGAAGGAAUCGGUCUUGCCGGGAGUGCCUACUCCAAGUGGCUAACGCCUUCUCCACCCCAGGCCCAACACAGAGCCCAUCAUCUGCCGGAGAGGAAAUUGCAGGAGAUUUACUGAAGGCAAGGAUUGCGACGAGGUUGGAAGCUGCAUCUUCCAGAAGAGAGCAGAGCGCUGGCUGCGUCCAGGCCCUUCUCUGAGCCAGGUGGGCAGUGCUGGGAGCCCAGCUUAUAUUUGCCCAAGAGACCAGCGCGUCCCUAGAGCACCCAGUUCUCCAUGGAAAGGGCUCUCGGGAAGCUGAAGACAGACAAUAGCCAGCAGACAGGGGCUGUUCUAGGAAGCAAAGGAAAAUUCACUACAAAAGGGUAUUUGAAAACCUUUUGUGGCUCAUUUAGACACAAGACCGUGAGACGGCAGGACCGUGAAGGGCCAGAGCCCGGGCUGACACGGGCAGGGACGCUCUGCAAGCCGAGUCCUCAUCACCAGCAGAGCCAGCUCCACGUUUCGCUCUGCUUUGGGUUUCUUUUCAUCCCUUUCUUUAAGAGCCAUUUUUAUACUCAGGGCAGUUUAUGAAUGACCAUGGAGAGACUUCCACUUUGUGAGCCAAAACCUUGCCGUGGUUUCAAAAUGCUUUCCCCAGGUUUUCUCCCUAACAGCUGCAAUUACUGGCCACGUUGGACCCAAACUCCCCAGGGGGUUCAGUUCCUUCCUCCAAAUUUGCCAUUUGUGGUGAGAUUUUUAUUCCCAGGAAAAGGCAGCUCACCCCGCUCUAGUCCCGGGAUCGCCCUUGCCCUGGGAGGGUGCUCGCGGCGAUGACGCACUCAGCUCUUUAGACGAUGCAAGUACCCAGCGGGUGCUGCCUUCUGAGUCACCCGGCGGCUUGCUCAAUCCCCCGGAUCAGACCGCGCCAGCAUCAGUCACCGAGCGCUAGAGACGGGCCCAGCCUUGGGCUGAACUUCCCUAGAGUUCAGUAGACUCCCCACUUCCUCCAAGGACUGAGCGGCAGAGCAACUCGCUGCUUGGGAAAUCAAGAAAUGAAUGAGGUCAGGGGACGGCUGGGUAUAUCCCUUGUUCGUUUUGCCAUGGCAGCGCUAGACAGGUGCUUCCGGCGUGCUCCGGCUCUGCUCGGGCACCUCCGCUGCUGGCACGGCGCCCGGGCGCUGAUGGUAGAAUUGCUGCCCAGAGAGCAAGCUCUGGGGAUCGGGCUUUCAAUCAGCAGAGCAGCAGUGGCGUGCACCCAGGGGCAGCCAGGGCACUGACCCUUGUGCACAGGGCCUCUUCACCACCUCCACACGCUUGUAGGAACAACCUUUCUUCUGGACCCUCUGUGCAUUUUCCCUCUGGGUCAGCCGUCCAAGUGCUUUUUCACUGCAGGGGACACAGUGGGUGCGUCUACACGUGCGCCGUUACUGCUCAGCACGGGCGCGCAUCUACACGUGCACACCCACCAUGUGCAGUAAAUAUGGCGACUGCGCUGAGCUGCAUCAGGCAGGUAUCAAAUUUACCCCCGAUUAUUUACUGCGCAGUAACGCACGUGUAGAUGCAUUGUUGUGCCUUAACGCUGUGCGUGUGAGGACUGACUUGGGAUUCAUUUUAGUCCCAAAUCAGCUCACCCACAGCGUUGAUGCACUUUAACACCUGCACAUUCCCACUGACUGGGCAGGAAAUUGAAGCCGGCGUCAAUGCACGUGUAGACGUGCCCCGUUAGAGCAUUCCCGAGCAGGCAGACCUUUAAACACCAAUGGACCCAAUUCUCUUUUGCACGUGGGCCCCUUACACUCUUCUGAGCGUGCAGAGAAGCACUGAGGGGCAGAACCAGGCCAGGCUUUCAUUGGGGAAGCACAAACUGCUGAGGGUGUGAGCGAGCAGGAGGCUAGCGCAGGCCGGCCUGCCCUGGGCAUUGCAGCUGCUCGGAACGUGCCCGCCCUGGGAUGUUUGAGCACGUCUUCCCACAGAGCACAGGGGCUGGAAGUAAGGCAAACGCCGCGUGCAGACCUCUGCGGCCCCCUACCGAACGCGUCUGGAUGCCAGGACCCGUCCCCCAAGGGUCAGGACCGUGCCGAUCUCAGGGUUGCCUUUGUCUCUAACUGGAAGCUGCUUUGGGCGAGCGAUUCCCCAGGACACUGAAACCAAGUGGGCGAGGGCCCCGCGCGGCUCAAGGUGCUGGGAAGGGGCAGGGGUUUCACACCCUCUCUCCAAUGCAGCCAAGGUGCCGAUGCGAACAGCAAGGUGGUGCUUGAAGUCCGACCCGUGCUACAGUUCGCUCGUCUGUUGGCUGUUUCGGCGAAGAGAUGAAGGGGUGAGCGGGCCAUGCCCGAGCAGCAACGUGUCUCCCUCGAACAGCCUGGAUGUCCACCAUCGGGAAGAGGGCAGGGAAAACUGCACCCCCGGUCUGUCACUAGACCAAAGGUAUCGCUCCUCAGUCCUGCAAAGCUUCCGCAAGCACCUCCUUGACCCAAACCUGGGCCGCUGCAGCUAGCGGCUCAGGCGUUUUGCCAGCUGGCUUGUACUAGACUGUGUGAAAUCAGGCUUUGGCUGACAUUGAGCAGACCCCGGCUCACUGGUGUGGGAUGCCUCUCAGCUACUCAAGUGCUUUAGAAACCUCAUAAAGCCCAGCAAGCCUUUUACUACGCAGCGUGCUUCCAAGGGCACUGCCGCAACCUCGCUAUUGUUGGCGUGCUCUGCCAGGGAAGCAGGCCCCGCAGCAAGCAGCAAGCACGACACGACCUGCAGAAAUGCAAGGAGAGAAAUGAGUGACAGCAUCCAGCCGGCAAACAGAGCAAGCCAGCAUCGCCCUGCCCUGGAAAGCCAGAUCCCAGGGCUCGUGACCCUGCGGGAGCUGCCGUUGCAAACACUGCCUACCUGGGAUUGAGGUGGCACAGGGGAUGCCAGGGCCCCGAGGAGAAGCAGCACAGGAGCGGUAGCAGGGAAAAGCAAACAUGCACGUGGAUGAUAGCAGGGCAGUCACUGUAGAUUAUAUGGGUGCAGUCCAUCGCACGGGGCACGAGGACACAGUGACUUGGGGCUGACAACAGGUGCCUUGUACUCUCAGUAGGAAGAGCAGGGCCUGGGCUCCUUACCCCAAAUGACCUCCUUUCCAUUAGGACAGCUGGCAGCGAGGGCCCUGGUCCCUUGCAAGGCGCUGGGAUCCUGGACCCGGCGCGCACUGCUCAGGGACGUCCAGGUCUGCAGCAAGAUGGGGGCUCUGUGGCACGUGAGUGUGUUUGCAAGUGGGGAAAUGUGCGUUCACGUUUAUUUUUGUAUUAGUAGUGUGUGUGUGAGCGUGCACAUGCAUGUGUGUGUGUGUGUGUGCACAGGCUGACCUUCUCCUGCAUAAGCCUCAUUUCUCUGACUGCAGAUCCCUUCCCUCCUGCAGUCCUGAUGGCUCGUAGCCUCCGUACAGAUCAGCGCUUGGCCAGGCUGCUCGCUGUUCUCGGCGGCAGGUUUUCGAGAUGGGCCCAAGCAGCAGAGCUCCGAUCCAGACCUCACUAUACAGCGAGGGGUGAAUGCUGGGGUCUGGGGGCAGGCGGUAUAAUUUGGACCUGCAUGCGAGACUCCCCACAGCAUGCAGCAAUGUGCAAGGGUUAGAUACAGCAAUGUGCUUAGAUCAGUAUAUAAUGGGUGCGUGCAGUGCCUUUUGCAAAGGAGCUUCAGAAAACUGCAUACUUACAACCCAGGUAAAGCCAGUCAACCCCGGCAGGCACCCUUUUCCAUUCAGGAGCUGGGAUAGAUUCAACUUGCCCCGUAAAGUAAGAAGGCAACGUCGUAAGGGCAACCAGAACCGGGCUCUGCCCUCCAGGCCAUCCCAGGCGGUGUGUGCAGGGCGCGCGCGCACCCCACGCAGCCACGGGAAACGCCAGGAAAAAGCAAAGCCCAAGAAAAAUCUUCCUGGAGCACCGUUGUUAUUAUUCUUAUAAACAAGUAAAGUACUUUAAAAUCAAUAUGGAAUUUCACUCGGAGCCUCAAGGGAGAUUUCAUCUCCUGAAUUACACGAUCGGAUAAACUAGCCCCCAGUCCACCUGCCAUCUCUGGUAUCAGCGGCUAUCUCUUCAAAGCCAGGCUGAAAGACCCGCAGAAUUAAUUAGAAUAAUCAAUCCUAAAAAUGACAGAGGUAUUGAUUAGCACGCUCGUCCCUUCCCUGCUGAGCAGUGCCGUGAGUCUGGCAGGUUUAUCAAGGUGAUAAAAAGCAAAUGGCUAGAGAUGGAAGAUGCUUAUCCAAUGACACAGUGUGACAGCCUAACAUCCAGCAGCUUUUAUAUUCAGAGAGGGUCUUGUUCUAACACUUUUAUAUUAUGUUAUUUUCAGGAAUCAUCAUAGCCUUCCUCUUGCUCUGAUUUAUUUUAUGCAUCAGCUAGUUUUUAAUGCUUGUUGAUGCCUUAGUUUUCGGAAAGAGAAGUAUAUGGGCGGGUGGGUGGGUGGGUGGAUGGGUGAAUAUUCAAUUCAAAUGUAAAAGGGGAAGUCACUUGUGCACAAGUCCCUUGCAACCCGUCUGUUCGAUCAAGACGGCUAGUUCCUGGUACCUCCCAGGACACCGGGAUUCAAAAUCUUUCCCCCCGCCCCGGCAGCCUGCUCCAAACACCCUCACCGAGCAUCCGACCAUUUGCUUGGCGCGCAAGGACACCGUUUCCCUGGAAAGGUCCCACUGAUGGGCCUGGAACGUCCUUUUCACCACUGGCCUUCGCACACAAGCUUUGCGCGUGCAACAGGCACUGAUGACCGGGGCUCACUGUCCACAUACGUACGUUCAAAGCUGGCCAGCUACCCCCCUCUUCACAUUUUGGCUCUGGUAUAAGCUGAACUGCAAAUCUACCCAGAUGGCUAAACGGCCAAACCUUGUGUCCUGCAGUGACACCAAUGGCAAGUCCAGCCGAUGCAAAGUCGCAGGCCUGGACUCUGCACCUGGACAGGAUGGGAGUUAUCUGACACUGUACAUGGGAGCAUGAGAUCGCCUCGCCUCCAGUUAGGAAAUGGCCUGAGACUGAUCCCAGCCAUGCACGCGGGAGUGGCCAAUGUGCAACUGGGGGGGUAACGAGGUGGAGGAAGGAAAUAGAGCAGCAGAAUUAUUUACGGACGACUUCAGGAUUUGGUGAUAGGAUGCGAACAAGACUCACAGGCUGCAAGAUGAACCCAACCUGCCGCAGGCAGCCGGGCCCCCUGCCAGCC
Alligator sinensis (Chinese alligator) is the source of this 8459-nucleotide RNA transcript. It is a transcript of the gene named collagen alpha-1(I) chain-like, with no coding region annotated. The record is from RefSeq and is a predicted model, not a curated record. The transcript is spliced from 2 exons. NCBI's taxonomy places the organism in Eukaryota, Metazoa, Chordata, Crocodylia, Alligatoridae.